RNAcentral lists this ribosomal RNA (615 nucleotides) under cyanobacterium 2-10. RNAcentral describes it as "bacterial SSU rRNA". It matches the Rfam family "Bacterial small subunit ribosomal RNA", at positions 122 to 770 of the family's 1533-position model. The record is from RNAcentral. Lineage: Bacteria; Bacillati; Cyanobacteriota.
GAAUCUGGCUUCAGGUUCGGGACCACAGUUGGAAACGGCUGCUAAUACCGGAUGUGCCUUAGGGUGAAAGAUUUAUCGCCUGAAGAUGAGCUCGCGUCUGAUUAGCUAGUAGGGGGGGUAAGAGCGCCACCUAGGCGACGAUCAGUAGCUGGUCUGAGAGGAUGAUCAGCCACACUGGGACUGAGACACGGCCCAGACUCCUACGGGAGGCAGCAGUGGGGAAUUUUCCGCAAUGGGCGAAAGCCUGACGGAGCAAUACCGCGUGAGGGAGGAAGGCUCUUGGGUUGUAAACCUCUUUUCUCAGGGAAGAAUGAUGACGGUACCUGAGGAAUAAGCAUCGGCUAACUCCGUGCCAGCAGCCGCGGUAAUACGGAGGAUGCAAGCGUUAUCCGGAAUGAUUGGGCGUAAAGCGUCCGCAGGUGGCAAUGUAAGUCUGCUGUCAAAGCGUGUGGCUCAACCAUAUAAAGGCAGUGGAAACUACAUAGCUAGAGUAAGGUAGGGGUAGAGGGAAUUCCUGGUGUAGCGGUGAAAUGCGUAGAGAUCAGGAAGAACACCGGUGGCGAAAGCGCUCUGCUGGACCUUAGCUGAGACUGAGGGACAAAAGCUAUGGGAGAG